GGUUGGGUCUGGGUCGACUGUGCAGGGAGGGGCUCGGGCUGGGACGGUGGCUGGGCUCGGCAGGGACGGUGGCUGGGCUUGGGGCUACUGCUACCGCACCAAUUAUUCCUGAAAACAUGGGAAUUUUUCCGCACCUCAAGUUGAUGACUUGGACCAUGGAAAAUUGCAGCUCAGACCAAGCAAAGAGAACGGCGGUCAUCACACUAAAGGCUUUUGGGCCAUAGCAAUAUCUAAUAGAGCAAAAAUGUGCGUCUGUAUAAAGGAAGUUGAAGAGCUAUGGAAGCAGGUCUAUAUUGAGAUGCAUUUCUUUGGCGCAAUACUAGACAACAUUGACAGUUGAAGUUUUUAGAAUAAAAAUAUAUUUCACUAACAUUGGAUACAUUUCUUGUUUAAUAUUUAGUGAUGAUAAAAUUUGAUUGUAGUAUAAACUAUCAUGUAAUAUGAUUUUGUAAGCCGAGUAGACUAAAUACUGAAAUUA
Molecule: long non-coding RNA, 478 nt
Organism: Humulus lupulus (European hop)
Lineage: Eukaryota; Viridiplantae; Streptophyta; Magnoliopsida; Rosales; Cannabaceae
Exons: 4
Source: RefSeq, a predicted model, not a curated record